UCACGUAGGGGUGCGAAGCGUUGUCCGGAAUUAUUGGGCGUAAAGCGCGCGCAGGCGGUUUCUUAAGUCUGAUGUGAAAGCCCACGGCUCAACCGUGGAGGGUCAUUGGAAACUGGGGAACUUGAGUGCAGAAGAGAAAAGCGGAAUUCCACGUGUAGCGGUGAAAUGCGUAGAGAUGUGGAGGAACACCAGUGGCGAAGGCGGCUUUUUGGUCUGUAACUGACGCUGAGGCGCGAAAGCGUGGGAGCAACAGG
Molecule: ribosomal RNA, 254 nt
Filed under: uncultured bacterium
Lineage: Bacteria
Description: partial 16S ribosomal RNA
Rfam family: Bacterial small subunit ribosomal RNA
Source: RNAcentral